GGGUGAUUAGCUCAGCCGGGAGAGCAUCUGCCUUACAAGCNNCAAGCAGAGGGUCGGCGGUUCGAUCCCGUCAUCACCCACCA
This 83-nucleotide transfer RNA is filed under the name Pseudomonas sp. RNAcentral describes it as "tRNA-Val". It matches the Rfam family "tRNA". From Rfam's summary of the family: Transfer RNA (tRNA) molecules are approximately 80 nucleotides in length. Their secondary structure includes four short double-helical elements and three loops (D, anti-codon, and T loops). Lineage: Bacteria; Pseudomonadati; Pseudomonadota; Gammaproteobacteria; Pseudomonadales; Pseudomonadaceae. The record is from RNAcentral.